Molecule: long non-coding RNA, 200 nt
Filed under: Elaeis guineensis (African oil palm)
Lineage: Eukaryota; Viridiplantae; Streptophyta; Magnoliopsida; Arecales; Arecaceae
Description: long non-coding RNA (EGUI_LNC064366)
Source: RNAcentral
GUGGCAGGGUUUUGUAGAUAAUGUCAAACAUUGUCUAUAUGGUAUCCAAUUUCAAAUCAGAUUUGAACAUACCAUAAAAUUAGAUUUUUAUCUAUUCUUGGAUGUGAGAUAGAGAGGGUGAAGAGCUCUUUUGCAUGGAGAAAACUCAUGCAAAAAAUUUUUGUGCGUGAUGAAGAAUGGCAUCCAAGUUUGGUGGUGCA